GACGAACGCUGGCGGCGUGCUUAACACAUGCAAGUCGAACGGCAACGCCCUGCUUUUGUGGGGUGCUCGAGUGGCGAACGGGUGAGUAACACGUGAGUAACCUGCCCUUGACUUUGGGAUAACUUCAGGAAACUGGGGCUAAUACCGGAUAGGAUCUCCUGCUGCAUGGUGAGGGUUGGAAAUUCUAGGCGGUUGGGGCUGGAUUGGCGGGUAAUCAGCUUGUUGGUUGGGUAGUUGUAUACCAAGCGAGUGACCGAUCGCCGGCAGGGGAGGGGGGACAGGGACCAUGCGACUGCGAUACGGCGCAGAGUCGUACGGGGGGCAGCAGUGGGGAGUAUUGCCCAGUGGGAGGACGUCUGAUGCAGCAACGCCGCGUGCGGGAUGACGGCUUUUUGGGUGUGAACCGCUUUAGCCUGUGACGAAGCGGGAGUGACGGUACUGGGUAAAGAAGCACCGGCUAACUACGUG
RNAcentral lists this ribosomal RNA (468 nucleotides) under uncultured bacterium. RNAcentral's name for it is "partial 16S ribosomal RNA". It matches the Rfam family "Bacterial small subunit ribosomal RNA", at positions 28 to 507 of the family's 1533-position model. The record is from RNAcentral.